Molecule: ribosomal RNA, 468 nt
Filed under: uncultured bacterium
Lineage: Bacteria
Description: partial 16S ribosomal RNA
Rfam family: Bacterial small subunit ribosomal RNA
Source: RNAcentral
GACGAACGCUGGCGGCGUGCUUAACACAUGCAAGUCGAACGGAAAGGCCCUGCUUUUGUGGGGUGCUCGAGUGGCGAACGGGUGAGUAACACGUGAGUAACCUGCCCUUGACUUUGGGAUAACUUCAGGAAACUGGGGCUAAUACCGGAUAGGAGCUCCUGCUGCAUGGUGGGGGUUGGAAAGUUUCGGCGGUUGGGGAUGGACUCGCGGCUUAUCAGCUUGUUGGUGGGGUAGUGGCUUACCAAGGCUUUGACGGGUAGCCGGCCUGAGAGGGUGACCGGCCACAUUGGGACUGAGAUACGGCCCAGACGCCUACGGGAGGCAGCAGUGGGGAAUUUUGCACAAUGGGCGGAAGCCUGAUGCAGCAACGCCGCGUGCGGGAUGACGGCCUUCGGGUUGUAAACCGCUUUCGCCUGUGACGAAGCGUGAGUGACGGUAAUGGGUAAAGAAGCACCGGCUAACUACGUG